GAUGAACGCUGGCGGCGUGCCUAAUACAUGCAAGUCGAGCGAACAGACGAGGAGCUUGCUCCUCUGACGUUAGCGGCGGACGGGUGAGUAACACGUGGAUAACCUACCUAUAAGACUGGGAUAACUUCGGGAAACCGGAGCUAAUACCGGAUAAUAUAUUGAACCGCAUGGUUCAAUAGUGAAAGACGGUUUUGCUGUCACUUAUAGAUGGAUCCGCGCCGCAUUAGCUAGUUGGUAAGGUAACGGCUUACCAAGGCAACGAUGCGUAGCCGACCUGAGAGGGUGAUCGGCCACACUGGAACUGAGACACGGUCCAGACUCCUACGGGAGGCAGCAGUAGGGAAUCUUCCGCAAUGGGCGAAAGCCUGACGGAGCAACGCCGCGUGAGCGAUGAAGGUCUUCGGAUCGUAAAACUCUGUUAUUAGGGAAGAACAAAUGUGUAAGUAACUAUGCUCGUCUUGACGGUACCUAAUCAGAAAGCCACGGCUAACUACGUG
RNAcentral lists this ribosomal RNA (497 nucleotides) under uncultured bacterium. RNAcentral's name for it is "partial 16S ribosomal RNA". It matches the Rfam family "Bacterial small subunit ribosomal RNA", at positions 28 to 507 of the family's 1533-position model. The record is from RNAcentral.